RNAcentral lists this ribosomal RNA (411 nucleotides) under Pristimantis cf. marmoratus ABGD cluster 259. RNAcentral's name for it is "partial large subunit ribosomal RNA". It matches the Rfam family "Bacterial large subunit ribosomal RNA", at positions 1836 to 2457 of the family's 2925-position model. The record is from RNAcentral. Lineage: Eukaryota; Metazoa; Chordata; Amphibia; Anura; Strabomantidae.
CUUGUAACCAUAAGAGGUCCAGCCUGCCCAGUGAUUUUAUUUAACGGCCGCGGUAUUCUAACCGUGCGAAGGUAGCGCAAUCACUUGUUUUCUAAAUAAAGACCAGUAUGAAAGGCAUCACGAGAACUUAACUGUCUCCUUUCUCCAAUCAGUGAACCUAAUCUCCCCGUGAAGAAGCGGGGAUCCCCCUAUAAGACGAGAAGACCCUGUGGAGCUUAAAAUGUGAUAUCAACUACUGCCCCAAUUAUCCCCCCACCUCCCCAGCGGCACCCUGAUCACAUAUUUUUGGUUGGGGUGACCGCGGAGAAAAACUUACCCUCCGUGAUGAAAAAGAAUUCCCUUAAACAACAAGUCACAACUUUAUGUAUCAAAAAAUUGACAUUCAUUGACCCAAUAAAUUGAUUAACGAAC